Peromyscus maniculatus bairdii (prairie deer mouse) is the source of this 1810-nucleotide non-coding RNA. Lineage: Eukaryota; Metazoa; Chordata; Mammalia; Rodentia; Cricetidae. The record is from RefSeq and is a predicted model, not a curated record.
UCCGUACCCGCUUCCGCUUCCGCCGCCGCACAGCCGCACGGGACGCGUAGUUCGUGGGAUGCACAACGGGAGCGCGGCCGCAGCGUGACCGGGAAGUGAUUGCGCUGCUCGGCGAGCCGACCAAUGGGAGGCGGCCGGAGGAAGGCGGCCGGCCAGGCAGGCAGGCGGCACCCCGCCCCUCUGCGUGCGAGCUAGGAAGCCGGCGGCGCCGGGGUGUGAGCCCCGAGUGUGAGCGACGCCUGAGUGUGAGCCUGGAGUGUGAGCGGCGCCUGAGUGUGAGCCCCGAGUGUGAGCCCUGAGUGUGAGCCGCCCGGAGUGUGAGCUCGGAGUGCGAGCCCCGAGUGUGAGCCCCGGCAGCCCGCUCACUUGGGACCGACUGGCAGGAAGGCACCUACAGCUCCCCAAGGGCUCCCCCGCGGGCCCGGCGGGGUCAAGGAGACAGCUCCUGAAAGGUCGGAACUAACCCACUCUACUGUGCCGGAGAGCCGGCUCUGGGCAAAGCCUGGUGACCGGGUCACUCCUCAGAACUCCCACGGUGGAAGGAGAAAGCCAGCCUUCAAGUUGUCCGCUAACCUCUAAGCAGACGCUCGCACUCAGGCACACACAUGUACACACCACAAAAUUAGUAAACACAUGCUUCCCUUUUAAAUCUUAAAAUGUAUUCUUCUGAAUGUAAAAUCAAGAAAAGGUAAGGGUUAAAGGUGCGAGCAAUGCCCUCAAAGGCGGCUUAGAGUGCAGGGAGUCUGGGGAGGGCAUUCAAGUACAAGAGGAGGGGUCAGGAGACCCAGAAGGUGAAUUAGACACUUGCUGGCAAGCCUCGUCACCUGAUACUGUUCUCACCAUCAAUACCACCCCAGGCCUUACAUGACAGAAAUAGAGAACUGACUCGUGCAUGUUAUAGAUCCUCUGACCCCAACACACACACACACACACACACACACACACACUACAGUAAAAACUUUCAGGGAGAGCUGGAAGCAGGACGGCCCCAAACAGGCCCUCACUGCAACUUCAGUACCCGCCUGCCUCACAAGCCCUUACCUCACUGUCGUCCUCUUCCUCCUCCGCCUCAUCUGAUUCAUCCUCACUGUCCUCAAAGAACUUGGACUUAGCAACUCGAGGCAGCUUGUCAGAGGCUGAAGAGCAGGAAGGUCCAGCCUCACCAGUAGCAGUACCAGGCUCCCCAGUUUGGCCUGCCUCAGUCCCAUGUUCCGAGUUGGAGGAAAGGCCUGUGUGGCCUUUGGCUGUGGGGCCAUUUUCCUGGGAAGGAGUUUCCCUAGCUGGGUCCUCGGGUCCAGCCUCCCCAUUGAGGCCCUGAGGCCCUGGUUCAUCACCUGUCCCAGUUCCAGAUCUGGUGUGGGGAGGGCCCUUCUGACAGUUCUGCCCGUAUCGUGUCAGCAGCUCCUCAAUAGUCAUGGUGGCCUCCUCAUGCAGCAGUGCGGCCUCCUCAUUGUCCACUGCGGGAGGAGACCCGAUCAGAGCCCCACCCACUCCUCACAGGACAGUCCCUUCACUAGUCAGCACUUCCCGCUUACCUCCCGAGUCUAAGGCUCCACUCCCUCAUCAACUCUCAGAAAAACAGUCCCCCGAGCUCUCCUCAGUAGCGGGCUGGUCUUUCUUGGUCCGAGGAACUCCAGUUAUACCCCACCACCACCACUGUACCUCUUGUGUAUUGAGUUGAAACCUUAACUCUGACCGAGGACCCAGAAACCCCCAACACUAGCUUAGAGGAAGGGCUAAGUUGUAAUAACCAACUACCAAGGCUAAUAAUUGCCCCAGGCUUGAAAAAAAAAAAAAGUCGCCACAUAUA